RNAcentral lists this ribosomal RNA (1610 nucleotides) under Campylobacter lari. RNAcentral describes it as "partial 23S ribosomal RNA". It matches the Rfam family "Bacterial large subunit ribosomal RNA", at positions 1 to 1485 of the family's 2925-position model. Lineage: Bacteria; Pseudomonadati; Campylobacterota; Epsilonproteobacteria; Campylobacterales; Campylobacteraceae. The record is from RNAcentral.
AAAAAAGGUAAGCUACUAAGAGCGAAUGGUGGAUGCCUUGACUGGUAAAGGCGAUGAAGGACGUACUAGACUGCGAUAAGCUACGGGGAGCUGUCAAGAAGCUUUGAUCCGUAGAUUUCCGAAUGGGGCAACCCAAUGUAUAGAGAUAUACAUUACCUAUAUAGGAGCGAACGAGGGGAAUUGAAACAUCUUAGUACCCUCAGGAAAAGAAAUCAAUAGAGAUUGCGUCAGUAGCGGCGAGCGAAAGCGCAAGAGGGCAAACCCAGUGCUUGCACUGGGGGUUGUAGGACUGCAAUGUGCAAGAGGUGAGUUUAGCAGAACAUUCUGGAAAGUAUAGCCAUAGAGGGUGAUAGUCCCGUAUGCGAAAAACAAACCUUAGCUAGCAGUAUCCUGAGUAGGGCGGGACACGAGAAAUCCUGUCUGAAGCUGGGUCGACCACGAUCCAACCCUAAAUACUAAUACCAGAUCGAUAGUGCACAAGUACCGUGAGGGAAAGGUGAAAAGAACUGAGGUGAUCAGAGUGAAAUAGAACCUGAAACCAUUUGCUUACAAUCAUUCAGAGCCCUAUGUAGCAAUACAGGGUGAUGGACUGCCUUUUGCAUAAUGAGCCUGCGAGUUGUGGUGUCUGGCAAGGUUAAGCAAACGCGAAGCCGUAGCGAAAGCGAGUCUGAAUAGGGCGCUUAGUCAGAUGCUGCAGACCCGAAACGAAGUGAUCUAUCCAUGAGCAAGUUGAAGCUAGUGUAAGAACUAGUGGAGGACUGAACCCAUAGGCGUUGAAAAGCCCCGGGAUGACUUGUGGAUAGGGGUGAAAGGCCAAUCAAACUUCGUGAUAGCUGGUUCUCUCCGAAAUAUAUUUAGGUAUAGCGUUGUGUCGUAAUAUAAGGGGGUAGAGCACUGAAUGGGCUAGGGCAUACACCAAUGUACCAAACCCUAUCAAACUCCGAAUACCUUAUAUGUAAUCACAGCAGUCAGGCGGCGAGUGAUAAAAUCCGUCGUCAAGAGGGAAACAACCCAGACUACCAGCUAAGGUCCCUAAAUCUUACUUAAGUGGAAAACGAUGUGAAGUUACUUAAACAACCAGGAGGUUGGCUUAGAAGCAGCCAUCCUUUAAAGAAAGCGUAAUAGCUCACUGGUCUAGUGAUUUUGCGCGGAAAAUAUAACGGGGCUAAAGUAAGUACCGAAGCUGUAGACUUGCACACAACUUAGAUUAUUUAAGUUUAGAAUAUGAGAAACUAAGUUAUAUGUUUAGUUAUAUUUUUACUGAUUUUUAUAGAGUAAAGAUAGAAAUAAAACUUAGUAAAAUCAGUAAAAAUAUUCUUAGACUAAAGUUAAGUAGUUUAAGUUGUGUGCAAGUGGUAGGAGAGCGUUCUAUUUGCGUCGAAGGUAUACCGGUAAGGAGUGCUGGAGCGAAUAGAAGUGAGCAUGCAGGCAUGAGUAGCGAUAAUUAAUGUGAGAAUCAUUAACGCCGUAAACCCAAGGUUUCCUACGCGAUGCUCGUCAUCGUAGGGUUAGUCGGGUCCUAAGUCGAGUCCGAAAGGGGUAGACGAUGGCAAAUUGGUUAAUAUUCCAAUACCAACAUUAGUGUGCGAUGGAAGGACGCUUAGGGCUAA